AACGAACGCUGGCGGCAGGCCUAACACAUGCAAGUCGAGGGGGAAGCCAUCUUCGGGUGGUGGAGACCGGCGCACGGGUGAGUAACGCGUGGGCACCUGCCCUGGGGUGGGGGAUAACCGCUGGAAACGGCGGCUAAUACCGCAUACGCCUUUAGAGGGAAAGAUUUAUCGCCCUGGGAGGGGCCCGCGUUGGAUUAGCUUGUUGGUGGGUAACGGCCCACCAAGGCGACGAUCCAUAGCUGGUCUGAGAGGAUGAUCAGCCACACUGGGACUGAGACACGGCCCAGACUCCUACGGGAGGCAGCAGUGGGGAAUAUUGGACAAUGGGGGCAACCCUGAUCCAGCCAUGCCGCGUGCGUGAAGAAGGCCUUAGGGUUGUAAAGCGCUUUCACCGGUGACGAUGAUGACGGUAGCCGGAGAAGAAGCCCCGGCUAACUCCGUG
RNAcentral lists this ribosomal RNA (442 nucleotides) under uncultured bacterium. Its description in RNAcentral is "bacterial SSU rRNA". It matches the Rfam family "Bacterial small subunit ribosomal RNA", at positions 28 to 507 of the family's 1533-position model. The record is from RNAcentral.